GACGUAGGGCGCGAGCGUUGUCCGGAUUUAUUGGGCGUAAAGAGCUCGUAGGCGGCUGGUUGCGUCGGCUGUGAAAACCCAUGGCUCAACCGUGGGCUUGCAGCCGAUACGGGCAGGCUAGAGUUCGGUAGGGGAGACUGGAAUUCCUGGUGUAGCGGUGAAAUGCGCAGAUAUCAGGAGGAACACCGGUGGCGAAGGCGGGUCUCUGGGCCGAUACUGACGCUGAGGAGCGAAAGCGUGGGGAGCGAACAGG
This 253-nucleotide ribosomal RNA is filed under the name uncultured bacterium. RNAcentral's name for it is "partial 16S ribosomal RNA". It matches the Rfam family "Bacterial small subunit ribosomal RNA", at positions 524 to 776 of the family's 1533-position model. The record is from RNAcentral.